Molecule: long non-coding RNA, 638 nt
Filed under: Homo sapiens (human)
Lineage: Eukaryota; Metazoa; Chordata; Mammalia; Primates; Hominidae
Description: non-protein coding lnc-ZDHHC7-2:1
Source: RNAcentral
ACUUCCGGCGCUCGCACCGCCCCGCUCUCCAGCCAAGGCUCCGGGCUGAGGCAUUUGCUUGGCUGCAGCCUCCUUCCGACCUGCCCGGCGGGACCCAGGGGACCAAGCCGAGCCGAGCCGCGGGGCCCGCUCCAGCCCGGCCAUGAGCGCGGCCGCAUGAUGCGUCCCUGCCUCGGCCGCUGCAGUCGCCGCCGCCGCCGCCGCAGGCCGGGAGGAGCCGCAGCGCCGGGCGACCCCGCCCGGGCCUCGGAUCCGAUCACAUAGGACAGUAUGCACCUUAAGAUCCUGAAGAAACGGCACAAAAUGUUCAAGUGAUGUUUAGAAAUAACUUGUGAGGGCUUCUACCACUGCUGAUGCAAAACCACAAAGGGACCUACCUGAGCCACCGUCCUAGCCAAGCGAGCAAACCUGCAGGGGGUUUGGAAGUGGACUUGGUCACCGCAGAAGCGUGUGCGCCGUUGGGGGAAGAGCUGCGUCACAGCCAGAGGGACAAAGUGUGGGUGAUCCUGGAGACGCCAGUUUCCGAGAUUGUUCUGCAUAUUCAUUUGCACAUUGUUGUCUGGGUUGGACAUGCGUGUGGGCUUCAGUGUGAGGCUUUUAAUAUGUAUAUCCUGUUAUCAAUAAAACAAUUAUCCAAG